This 269-nucleotide ribosomal RNA is filed under the name uncultured bacterium. RNAcentral's name for it is "partial 16S ribosomal RNA". It matches the Rfam family "Bacterial small subunit ribosomal RNA", at positions 83 to 353 of the family's 1533-position model. The record is from RNAcentral.
CUUCGCUGACGAGUGGCGGACGGGUGGGUAAUGUCUGGGAAACUGCCUGACGGAGGGGGAUAACUACUGGAAACGGUAGCUAAUACCGCAUAACGUCGCAAGACCAAAGAGGGGGACCUUCGGGCCUCUUGCCAUCGGAUGUGCCCAGAUGGGAUUAGCUAGUAGGUGGGGUAACGGCUCACCUAGGCGACGAUGCGUAGCCGACCUGAGAGGGUGACCGGCCACACUGGGACUGAGACACGGCCCAGACUCCUACGGGAGGCAGCAUG